CGUCAUGGCUCAGAUUGAACAACGGCGAGAUCUUUACACAUGCAAGUCGAACGGCAGCACGGACUUCGGUCUGGUGGCGAGUGGCGAACGGGUGAGUAAUGUAUCGGAACGUGCCUAGUAGCGGGGGAUAACUACGCGGAAGAAGGCGUAGCUAAUACCGCGCAUCAGGGAAAGCGGGGGACCUUCGGGCCUAUAUGCCAUGUCAAACAAGCCGACUAUCAGUUAGCUAGUUGGUGGGGUAACGGCUGCGCAAGGCGACGAUCCGUAGCUGGUUUGAAGGACGACCAGCCACACAGGACUGAGACUGCAGCCAGACUCCUACAGGAGGCAGCGAUGGGGAAACACCCGGACAAUGGGGAAACCCUGAUCCAGCCAUCCGCGUGUGCGAUGAAGGCCUUCGAUUAUCUGAACACUUUUGGCAGGAAGAAACUGGCACGGGAUAAUACCCCGUGCGAAAGCUGACAGCCUGCAGAAUAAGCACCGGCUAACCUGUGCCAGCAGCCGCAGUAAUACGUAGGGUGCAAGCGUUAAUCGGAGAAAUUACUGGGCGUAAAUCGUGCGCAGGCGGUUCGGAAGAAAGAUGUGAUCGGAAGCAACUUUGGGUUACCGUUUUGCUACGAGCUAGAGUGUGGGAGGUGGAGUGCGCGUGUAGCAGUGAAAUGCGUAGAUAUGCGGAGAACGCGAUGGCGAAGGCGGCCUCCGCCAGGAUACAACAUGACGCUCAUGCGGCAUUAUGAGGAGCAAACAGGUUAAGAUACCCUGGUAGUCCGCCUAAACGAUGUCAACUUCUGGCUAUUUGGGGCCUUCGGGCCUUGGUAGCGCAGCUAACGCGUGAGAUUGACCGCCUGGAGACUGAUCGCAAGAUUAAAACUCAAAGGAAUUGACGGGGACCCGCACAAGCGGUGGAUGAUGUGGAUUAAUUCGAUGCAACGCGAAAAACCUGCUACCUUGACGUAUGCUGGAAUCCGAAGAAAGUUUGGGAGUGCUCGCAAAGAGAACCGGAACACAGGUGCUGCAUGGCUGGCGCCGUCGCUCGUGUCGUGAGAUGUUGGGUUAAAAGUCCACGGCAAGCGCAACCCUUGUCGUGGUGCUACGAAGGGCACUCUAAUGGACUUGCCGGUGACAAACCGGAGGAAGGUGGGGAUGACGUCAAAGUCCUCGCAAGCCCUUAUAGGUAGAGGCUUCCACGUCGCUGUGGUCGGGGACAGAGGGUCGCCAACCCGCAGGGGGCCAAUCCCGAAGCCCGAUCGUAGUCCGGAUCGCAGUCUGCGACUCGACUGCGUGAAGUCAGAAUCGCUAGUAAUCGCGGAUCAGCAUGUCGCGGUGAGCCCGUUCCCGGGUCUUGUACACACGCCCGUCACACCAUGGGAGUGGGUUUUACAGUAGUUAGCCUAACCGUAAGGAGGGCGAUUACCGACCAGGAUUCCAUGACUGGGGUGAAGUCGUAACAUAGGUGA
Molecule: ribosomal RNA, 1457 nt
Filed under: uncultured Bordetella sp.
Lineage: Bacteria; Pseudomonadati; Pseudomonadota; Betaproteobacteria; Burkholderiales; Alcaligenaceae
Description: partial 16S-23S ribosomal RNA intergenic spacer
Rfam family: Bacterial small subunit ribosomal RNA
Source: RNAcentral